AGGAAACAACCGGAUUCCCGAUCCCGACCGAGGCCUUCUUCCUGACUCGGCUCCACUCUCGCCGGGAGGAUGAAAGGCCUCAGCUGGGGGCUCCCUGCCAUCAGCACUGGGUCGUAAGAGCUGCCAUCCAGGCUGGGUAAGUGUCCUCUUCCUUUCUGCCCCAUUACAGCCCUUGGCUUUUCCCAUCUUCCUAUUCAGCCCCUGUCUCCUCCCUAUCUUGUGCCUCUGCCAACAUCUUCACAUCAUGCUCCUGGGGAGGUCUUUAGCCUCUUCCUGUAGCCAGAAAGGUAUGUGUGUGUGCGCGUGUGUGCGCGCGCAGAGGUGUCAUACAGCUGGUGGUGUCGUAUGAAAGGAAUCUGAAGUAGUCUAAAAAUAAGAUUUCCUGUUGCACACUUAAUUUGACAUGUUAUACGUGGC
This 417-nucleotide long non-coding RNA is filed under the name Rattus norvegicus (Norway rat). RNAcentral describes it as "long non-coding RNA NONRATT010408". The record is from RNAcentral. Lineage: Eukaryota; Metazoa; Chordata; Mammalia; Rodentia; Muridae.